GACGAACGCUGGCGGCGUGCCUAAUACAUGCAAGUAGAACGCUGAAGGAGGAGCUUGCUUCUCUGGAUGAGUUGCGAACGGGUGAGUAACGCGUAGGUAACCUGCCUGGUAGCGGGGGAUAACUAUUGGAAACGAUAGCUAAUACCGCAUAAGAGUAGAUGUUGCAUGACAUUUGCUUAAAAGGUGCAAUUGCACCACUACCAGAUGGACCUGCGUUGUAUUAGCUAGUUGGUGGGGUAACGGCUCACCAAGGCGACGAUACAUAGCCGACCUGAGAGGGUGAUCGGCCACACUGGGACUGAGACACGGCCCAGACUCCUACGGGAGGCAGCAGUAGGGAAUCUUCGGCAAUGGACGGAAGUCUGACCGAGCAACGCCGCGUGAGUGAAGAAGGUUUUCGGAUCGUAAAGCUCUGUUGUAAGAGAAGAACGAGUGUGAGAGUGGAAAGUUCACACUGUGACGGUAUCUUACCAGAAAGAGACGGCUAACUACGUG
RNAcentral lists this ribosomal RNA (495 nucleotides) under uncultured bacterium. Its description in RNAcentral is "partial 16S ribosomal RNA". It matches the Rfam family "Bacterial small subunit ribosomal RNA", at positions 28 to 507 of the family's 1533-position model. The record is from RNAcentral.